UUCCGUAGGUGAACCUGCGGAAGGAUCAUUAUCGAGAGAGGGGCUUCGCGCCCCCGGGGGUCUCGGCCCUCAACUCUUCACCCUUUGCGUACCUACCUUUGUUGCUUUGGCGGGCCCGAGAACCCUCUCGCGCUAACUGUUUGGCCGGCGAGUGUCCGUCAGAGGCCCAUUUAUUUCUAUUUAUCAGCGAAGUCCGAGUUAAAACAAUGAAUAAAAACUUUCAACAACGGAUCUCUUGGUUCCAGCAUCGAUGAAGAACGCAGCGAAAUGCGAUAAGUAAUGUGAAUUGCAGAAUUCAGUGAAUCAUCGAAUCUUUGAACGCACAUUGCGCCCCUCGGCAUUCCGGGGGGCAUGCCUGUUCGAGCGUCAUUGCACCCCUCAAGCGCAGCUUGGUAUUGGGAUUUCGCCCCCGCGGCGUGCCUGAAAAACAGUGGCGGUCCGGCGUGACUUCAAGCGUAGUAAUAUCUUCCCGCUCUGAUAGUACUCGUCGCGACCGGCCAGAGAACCCCAUUUGCUUCUAUAAUUGACCUCGGAUCAGGUAGGGAUACCCGCUGAACUUAAGCAUAUCAAUAAGCGGAGGAAAAGAAA
RNAcentral lists this ribosomal RNA (588 nucleotides) under Xanthoparmelia pseudocongensis. RNAcentral's name for it is "eukaryotic LSU rRNA". The stretch from base 216 to 369 matches the Rfam family "5.8S ribosomal RNA". Lineage: Eukaryota; Fungi; Ascomycota; Lecanoromycetes; Lecanorales; Parmeliaceae. The record is from RNAcentral.